This 510-nucleotide ribosomal RNA is filed under the name uncultured bacterium. RNAcentral describes it as "bacterial SSU rRNA". It matches the Rfam family "Bacterial small subunit ribosomal RNA", at positions 1 to 507 of the family's 1533-position model. The record is from RNAcentral.
CGUAGUUGAUCAGUGGCUCAGAACGAACGCUGGCGGCGCGUCUUAAGCAUGCAAGUCGAACGGCAAGAUUAGGUGCUUGCACUAAUCCUAGAGUGGCGGACUGGUGAGUAACGCGUGGGUGACGUACCUUCUGAUGGGGAUAGCUACUAGAAAUAGUAGAUAAUACCGAAUACGAUUCCGUAAGUUAGAGGUGCGGAAUGAAAGGAGCUUCGGCUCCGCGGAAGGAACGGCCCGCGUACCAUUAGCUAGUUGGUGUGGUAACGGCAUACCAAGGCGAUGAUGGUUACCCGGCCUAAGAGGGUGAUCGGGCACAUUGGGACUGAGAUACGGCCCAGACUCCUACGGGAGGCAGCAGCUAAGAAUAUUGGUCAAUGGACGAGAGUCUGAACCAGCCAAGUAGCGUGAAGGAUGACUGCCCUAUGGGUUGUAAACUUCUUUUGUUUGGGAAUAAAGUGAGGGACGUGUCCCUUUUUGUAUGUACCAUUCGAAUAAGCAUCGGCUAAUUCCGUG